Molecule: long non-coding RNA, 1157 nt
Organism: Peromyscus eremicus (cactus mouse)
Lineage: Eukaryota; Metazoa; Chordata; Mammalia; Rodentia; Cricetidae
Exons: 5
Source: RefSeq, a predicted model, not a curated record
CCAAUUGUUCCUAAUAUUUUUCUAUUUAGCAAGCAAGGUGUUAUCAUUAUUUUUAGAAAUAUUUAUGGCUAACAUGCUAAAUAGAAUAGUAUUGAAAACAGUGUUGAACAAUCUCCUUGCAAAUACAUAUGUUAUUCUCUUCAGACUCUGAGCUGUGUGCAGUGUGUCCUGCAGUCCUGGUUUCAGGAAAUCUCCUCAGGAGGGAGGGAAAGGCUGGAUGCUGCUUUCAUUGCCCCCAUAGUCCAGAGAAUGAGACGUCUCAUGGAACAUGACACCAAGAAGAAACUGCCUGCCAUGGUGGUUCCCACUAUCAGCCGGCGGCGGCGAGCUCCAGGAGGAUGGCAGAGGUAGGCAGAUAUCAAGGAGUAGAAUAUCUUGGUCCACAUAAAUAGCUCUAUGCUAAAUACACACGAAAGAAAACCUGUUCCAAAAAUACGAUUUCCCAGUAAUUGGAAACCAAGAUGAACUUGUCAUUGCAGAUAUACUGUGUGUCCCUUCUUCACAGAGUGUAAGAUCAAACUUUAUCAUGCCAAGAGAACAUUCGUGACAAACUCAGAAACCCGAGCAAAUAGGCAGAUAAGAGCAGAAGUGGUUAAAAUGUGAAUAGAAAAAUGUAACCAGGUGCUGGGCGGUGUCCUGUUUCUAAAGGACACAAAAAACAAUUGUUAAAAAGCCCACACAUGCUUUGCUAAUACACAACUAUUGCUGUUCUACAACAUCUUCCUGUCUGUAACGUGCUGUCGAUUCUGUUUUUAGAGAGGAAAAAAAACCAAAAAAUCUUUGUCAAAGGCUUUCUGUUCUCUGAGUAUCCAUGCCGAAAAAAGAGGAAGUGGUGCAGCCUUUAAUCCCAGCACUCAGAAGGCACAGGCAGGCGGAUCUGGCUAGCCCUGUCCUGGAAACAUAACUUGCAAAGAACAGGCUGGCCUCCAACUCAGUCAUGCCGGAUUAAAGGCUGAAUCCACCAUCCACCUGCCGGUCUGGAUUGACUGCAACUGCCCUCCUUCCCCAAGUCACGAAUCACACACAUACGAAAGAAGAAAUUUAGGAAGACAUCUCUUCCCCUACAACCCGUGCCCUCUUCCACGGUAUACUCAAAUAAAUGAAUGAAUGAAUGAAUGAAUAAAUAAAUAAAUAAAUAAACCAAAGAAUGAGAAGUU